CAACCAAUGGCCAAAGCUGUAAACUAAAGCUGCUAGGUGUCCGGGCAUUCAAAGGAGAGUUUGACCAGCCUGCGGCACCUCCUCAGAGGAACCACCAACCCACCCCACCUGACCCUGUGUAUGUGGGCCCAUUGCUUUCUGAGCCACAGAACUGAGGGCCCAUGUGAGGACGUGCCAUGGAAGUACGUGGUGAGAGAGUGCUGGAGACAGCUUGACAUGCUCCCCGCAGCCGUGUGCACACAGAGGCUGGAUACCCCUGGGAGCCUGUGCCAGCAGGAUAAAUUCCCAAAGAAGAGGAGCGAGGUAGGAAGAGAUGACUGGGGGCCAGGGAACUGGAGAACAUUCCAGAUCAUCCCCUCCUCAGGCUUGAGGCACUGGUGACCCACUGAGGCAAAACAUACCUGAAUUUCAACCUAGAAGUUCAAGGUGAUCAUUGUAUGUAAACAACAGGCUCAAACAUCCUCCAAGGUGAUUGUGUCUAUUUGGGACGUGGAGAUUUUCAUGUCACGUGUGAAAUGAGGAUACUGUUUGGGUAUUAAACUGAUGUCUUUUUCAUUCAUCAUACCCUCUGACUUCCUGCCCACUAUCUUAUUGCUUCAGGGUAGGGUAGGGUAGCUACCAGCUAGAAUUGAAA
Molecule: long non-coding RNA, 634 nt
Filed under: Equus caballus (horse)
Lineage: Eukaryota; Metazoa; Chordata; Mammalia; Perissodactyla; Equidae
Description: lncRNA (ENSECAG00000056105.1)
Source: RNAcentral